Molecule: ribosomal RNA, 262 nt
Filed under: uncultured bacterium
Lineage: Bacteria
Description: partial 16S ribosomal RNA
Rfam family: Bacterial small subunit ribosomal RNA
Source: RNAcentral
GUCCACGCUGUAACGAUCAAUACUAGGUGUGCGGGACUGACCCCUGCGUGCCGCAGUUAACACAAUAAGUAUUGCACCUGGGAGGUACGAUCGCAAGGUUGAACUCAAAGGAAUUGACGGGGCCCGGCACAAGCGGUGGAUUAUGUGGUUUAAUUCGAAGCAACGCGAAGAACCUUACCAGGGCUUGACAUCCUACUAACGAAGUAGAGAUACAUUAGGUGCCCUUCGGGGAAAGUAGAGACAGGUGGUGCAUGGUUGUCGU